Molecule: ribosomal RNA, 473 nt
Filed under: uncultured Actinomycetes bacterium
Lineage: Bacteria; Bacillati; Actinomycetota; Actinomycetes
Description: bacterial SSU rRNA
Rfam family: Bacterial small subunit ribosomal RNA
Source: RNAcentral
UGGGGAAUCUUGCGCAAUGCGCGAAAGCGUGACGCAGCAACACCGCGUGAGGGAAGACGGCCUUCGGGUUGUAAACCUCUUUCAGGAGGGACGAAGGGUGACCGGUGAAUAGCCGUGUUGCUUGACGGUACCUCCAGAAGAAGCUCCGGCUAACUACGUGCCAGCAGCCGCGGUAAUACGUAGGGAGCAAGCGUUGUCCGGAAUCAUUGGGCGUAAAGCGCGCGUAGGCGGCCCGAUAAGUCCGCUGUAAAAGUCAACGGCUCAACUGUUGAAAGCCGGUGGAUACUGUCGGGCUAGAGUACGGAAGAGGCAAGUGGAAUUCCUGGUGUAGCGGUGGAAUGUGCAGAUAUCAGGAGGAACACCUAUAGCGAAGGCAGCUUGCUGGGACGUAACUGACGCUAAGGCGCGAAAGCGUGGGGAGCGGAACAGGGAUUAGGAUACCCUGGUAGUCCACGCCGUAAACGAUGGGAACU